AACGCACGAGACCUGCGGACCUGCGGAAGGAUCAUUACAGAGUUCGCGCCUUCGGGCGGACCUCCCACCCAGUGCUAUCGCUACCCUCGUUGCUUUGGUGGGCCGCCGGCCCCGUCCGCGCCCGCCAGAGGCCCCCCAACUCUUGAUGUCCUGUCGUCCGAGUAUUGCACAAUAGUUAAAACUUUUAACAAUGGAUCUCU
Molecule: unclassified non-coding RNA, 200 nt
Filed under: soil metagenome
Description: partial contains 5.8S ribosomal RNA, internal transcribed spacer 2, and large subunit ribosomal RNA
Source: RNAcentral